CAGUUUCAAGCUUUCUUAUUACCUUCCCUCCAUUCUUCUGUAAGUUCAUUAAUUGUUGCUUGGGAGAAAAUGGGACCAGGUGGGCCAGGAGGGCCACCGGGGCCAGGUGGACCAGGAGGGUCUCCAGGGCCAGGAGGACCAGGAGGGCCUCCAGGAUGGGGCGGUCCUGCACCCGGACCAGGAGGGCCACCGGGAUGGGGCGGUCCUCCACCCGGACCAGGAGGGCCACCGGGGUGGGGCGGUCCUCCACCCGGACCAGGGGGACCACCGGGGUGGGGCGGCCCUCCGGUCGGACCAGGGUUUUUUGGUGGCUUCUGUGAUGUAAUUGGUGCUUGGUAAGUGAAUUAGGACUUUGUAUCUGAAUUAUGAAUGAAAAUUGUUUCAAGUCGUUUAACUGGUAUUUUGGUUAGUUGUUCUGAGUGUCAAAAAGCUCAUAUUUUACUACAUUGUUGUAAAGCUUUCUAAUUUGAGAUGAGUGUUGCAUAUGAAUAUGAAAAUGAAUACACUGUGUUUUUUUUUUUUUUGGGAAAUCGUAUUCACAUAUUUUUGGUAUUUAUAUCCAAAUAAGAAGAUUAGUUGGGCAUGGGGCAUCUGUUUGAAUGCUGAAAGGUUUUGUGUUUAUUUUUGCAGUGUCAACUUCCUGUGCUGCUGCUGGCUGUUUCGAGACUGUUUUGGUGGUCCAAUGGGUCCUCCUGGGCCACCUGGACCUCCACCACCAUAGUUAGAUGCUUUCUUGCUCCUUCAUAAAGAGACCUCCUAUCUGGGUUUAAACUUGCUAUCUAAUUACAAUAUUUAUGUAAGAAUUGUUUGCUUUUUAGUAGUAGAAAUUAAUAUGAAUGAAAUCUGUUGAGCGCUUAUUUUUCAGUCUGCGAUUCAUCCAUAAAUAUAUAAGGCACAGUCCAUUGAUGUGAUGUGUUAAACAUAGAUAAAUUACAUGAUAAAUGCUCUAGCAAAGGCUUGCCAAAUUAUGGGUGAACUAUUGGGGAGCUAACCAGCCUCGCCAACUAGGACGAGUGGGGAGCACACGCGUGGGGCGAACAUGACUUACGUAGCGUGUUGUGUAUUAUUUGUAUAACAAAAUCAUUCUCAAUAAAUUGAUCUUUAAAUCUUGGUUUUCUUGCAUGAGUUUAAUUUUUAUCACAUCAGUAAAAAAUGUUGUAUUUAAUGGCUGAACUAUAAACUGUGUUAAUAUUCAUUCCUAAUAAACAAAACCUAGAUGAAAAAUAAUUGCAAUAUGUUGGAACCUUGAUUAUAAGUUAUGUAUAUUUUUAUUUCUCAGUUGUUAAAGCUCUCUGUGUUUCAAACUGUACACUGUUUAGUUUAAUGGAGACUAGACAACAUAUGAAUGGGGGGAUACACAUUUUUAACCUUUUUCCUACCCAAAACUAUCUUUAUUUGCAGUGGACACCAGGCUACUUGGGGUGUUUGUUAGAUAGUCGAGUUUUACUCGAAAAAUAUUCGAAUUCGAUUAUAUUGACCCAAGUUCAAGCAAUAAAACCAGAAUUCAAGUAUCAUAAUACUUAAUUAGGACGGUUUACAAGCUUAAUUAGACUUUUCAUUUUAAUAUUUUUUAUUAUGAAUAAGCUCGAGUUUGGAUAUGAACAAUUUUAACUGAGCUCGAGUAUGAAAAUUGAUAAACAAACUCAAGUUUAAAUAUUGAAUCCCAAAUUUUGAGUUGGGCUCGAGUUUGAGCUUGAUACUAUUUUAAGUUUGGCUUGACUCAAUUACGCCUCUUCUAUUCGAGCAUCAUUGUUGAUCAAGUUGAUUUAACCAAUCAUGUGAAUUGACUAAUGUAAUUGGAGUAAUAAACUUUUAAUAUACUAUGCAUGUGAUUCGAUUAUAUAUAUAUAUAUAUAUAUAUAUAUAUAUAUAUAACAUUGAUAAUUUCUCAUAUCCUUUAUUAAAAGCUAAAAGCUAAGUAUGUAAGAACAAAUGCAGCAAAUAAACAUUAUUUUAAAGUAAGAAAGAAAAAAAACAUGUUGAAUAAUGAAAACAAAUAAAAUAAUACAGUAAAUUCAAUUAUUUUUAUCUCUAAUAGAAUAAAAUAUUUUAAUCAUGAUCCCCGAAAAAGCCUUCUAUUUCUAGAUGUGUUAGUAUCAUCCAAACCAUUAGAGUUAUCAUUUUUGUAUGCUAAAUUUGAUUCAGUGUCAAUUUUAUCAUAAAUUAGAUUCAUAUCCGCAUUAUCUCCUUUCGGUUUAAUAGAAUCUUGAUAGAGUUUAAUGAAAUGUUUGGGUGUAUAUCAAGUAUGUGACCAAUGAUAUUUAUACCAUAUUAAUCACAUAAGUUAUUUAUUAUGACUAUUAUUUUUAUGGUUAUUAUUAUGCCAUUGACAAUUUUAAAAUCUUGCAAACUUAGGUGCAUCCAAUUAUAAUGAGUUUUAGAUAGAAUUAUGGUCUUUUGCGACGAUAUUUAUUUUCACAUCUACUCUUUUUUAUAGAAUCUCUAGAACUAACCCAUAACUCCUCCCAAAAUUUUAAAUAAGAGGAUAAUACGCUUUACUGCACUCGAAUCUAUGUCCUCCUACACUGACAACAAUACUAAAUCAAUCGAGUUAAAACUCAAUUCACUUCAUAGUAAAAAUAUUUUUUCUAAUCGCCUUUUAAAUUAUACAAAUUAAGACAAAGCAAUUCAACGUAGAGGAAGCAUGCGUGUGUAUAUUCAAAGGGGAAGCAGAAACAUCAAUCCGAGGCUAUCGACAUUGCUUAAGUGAUACCUAUAAAUUAAAAAACUAUUUUAUAUUAGAAAGUAUUUUUAUAAAAAUAUAAGUGGCAAAAAUUCUUUUAUAUUGUGUUCAAAUCUUAAAUAAUUUUUUUAAUUGUCUUAAUUAAAUAUGUAAAAAUAUAAAAAGAUAAAAAUACUGUUAACUCGUAGUAUUAAUUUAAUUAAUUAUUUUAUAUAUAAUGUACAUAUAUUUAAUUAGUAUUUUUUUUUCAUAUCUAUACAACCAUAAAUGAAAAGAAACACGUGGCAUGCCCAAUAAUCUAAAAAUAAUAAAGAUUGGUAGGUGGUAGACAUGUCUAUAGGCCGGGCGGCCCGGCCCAGCCCGACGGCCCGCCCGAAAUAUGAGAGGGUUCGGGUAAAAAUAUAGGCCUGAAAUAUGAGUUUGGGCAAAAAAAGAGGCCCGUUUAGAAAAUGGGCCGGGCCUCGGGCAGAAUUUUUUUGGCUCGGGCCUGGCCCGACCUGAAAAUAUAUUAAAUAUAUACUUUUAUGUUUAAAAUAUACUAGUUUAAGUUUUUUAUGUUUUAAGUUUUUUAUGUUUAAAAAAUAUAUAUAUUUUUUAUGUUUAAGUUUUUAAAAAAUAUUUUUUUUUAUGUAACAAAAUAUCCUGCACAUGUAUUAAUAUUGGUUGGUUUUAAGAUAAAAAAAAUGUAAACUUAUUUGUUUACAAAAAUAUUUGAUAAUACAAAAAUAUUUGAUAAUACAAAAAUGUAAACUAAUCAAAUGUUAGAUUUUGUUAUAACAAUUAAUACAAUUAACAAUUAAUAAUUUAAUAAUUUUACUAACAAUUAAUUUUAAUAACAAUUAGUUUUAAUUUUAUCAAAAAAAAUUAAUUUUAAUUAAAACAGGCUGGGCCGGGAUUGGGCCCCAUAUUCUUUUCCCGGGCCGGGUCUGGACAAAAUCUCAGGCCCAUAUUUCGGGCCGGGACCGGGCCUAGGAAGCGGGCUGAAAUUUUUUGGGCCCGGCCCGGCCCAUAUACAGGUCUAGUAGGUGGCUUGGCUUCCUAUUUAUUUUAGAUUUGCGUCUGUUUUUUUUACAUCAUAUUCAUAAGGGUUAAUGGCACCAUUGACCCCUGUACUUUGGGGUUUGUUCUUUCAAAAUAUCCAAUUAACCCUCUGUACUUUACUUCCGUUAGCUAAAGUGGUCUCUGACCCAAACGGCGUUACCUUUUUUAUCAUGCGGCGCUUGUACUUUACUUCCGUUAGCUAAAGCUGUUGACUUGAAGGUUGACUGUAGAGACCCUUAUGAGCAAUUAAAUCAUUUUUCAUUUAGAAAAUUAAAAUAAACGAAGGGGCCAGCGAUGCCAAAUUUGAAUGAAAACAUAAGAUAUUUUAUAGCAAAAAAAUAUUUUCCUUGUGGGUUACUUUUUUUUUAUCAUUUUGUUUUCAUUUUUUUCUCCUCUUUCUCUCUUCUCUUCUAGCCGCGGUCAUCAUUGUGUCCAAUCAUCGAUCGGUCAGAUUAAAAAAGAGAGAAGAGAGUAAAUCUGAGCAUAGUACAAGUAUCAAAUUAUAUAAAAAUUAAAUUUUAAAUUUGAGCAUAGUAUAAGUACCAAAACGAAAAACAAAUUAGAAUUAAAAAAAAUUAUGAUGUCAAUGUUUCAUAUUUUCAAUCCCAAAUAAUCCCAUUCCCCUCUCCCAAUUAUCAAAAAAAAAAAUCAUAUUUUGCCUUAAAAAUAACAUUAUGAUGGCAAAGAGCAAUAUGUUCACCUUGUUACAAAAAUUGAAUAUAAAAGCUAGGAUCUGUGUGUUCAAGAUUAAAUUAAACUAAAAAUGAAUCUUACUAAAAUGUAAAUCAAUUAUUAAGAAUAAGGACUAAACAAGAAUUAUACCAAUUCAACAAACAGAGAUAGAAGAACCGACCGAGGUGCUAGAGUAACCAUUUUAAGAAAAGGAAGGGAGUUAAGAUGAAGUAUUGCCUAUUCAUAUGUUUACUCACCAUACAUAAAACAUUAUUUUGAUUUUAGGGUUUAAUACCUCCUAAUUUCAGUCAUUAACUCUAUCUAACAAUCUCAUUAUAAAUUCUGAUCAUAUUUGUUCUUUUUGACACAAUGCCUAAAACUAUCCAUAGUCCCUCCUCAAUGGGGGCGUUGGCAAGGGCUUCGACUCUCCUAAAAUGGAAUUUUUAAAAUUUUAAAUUCGUAAAGGUAAAACUAUACUUUGACCCCUCUAAAAAAUGAAAAAAAGAAAUUGAUAUUUCGGCCCAACUAAAAAAAAAUUCUGGCUUCACCCAUUGCUCCUCAACCCAUGGAUAGGAGGAUAAUAUGUUUCAACGCACUCAAACCAUGUUCUCUUACAUUGAUAUCAAUGUCCAUACUAAUUGAACUAAGACUCAAUCGACAAAGCAUAUACUAGAUUGAAGGUGUGUCGGUUGGCAUAGAUGGUGCCAAAACAGGAGAAAGUAUGAGGAAAACCGAUUGCCCUGGGAGACAUUAUAACUUUUAUAAAAAACAGCUUUGUGACUAUCAACCAGCUUUCGAGAGUGGUAGGUUUAAUAAGAAUGGUAGUUGCAGAAUUAAAUUACGUUAAAGAAAAUGUGGCUCAUAGACAGAUGGAUCCUUCUCGUUUAAGUAAACCAAAUUCAUUCCUAUAAAGCCACCUUCCAUGAUUGGUGACACAAGUUUCAAGCUUUUCUUAUCAGGUUUCCCUCCAUUGUCAAGUGUAAGUUCACCAGUUGUUGCUAGGGAGAAAUCAAAAUGGGGCCAGGUGGACCAGGAGGACCUCCGGGAUGGGGCGGUCCUCCUCCCGGACCGGGUUUUUCCGGUGGCAUUUGUGACUUCAUUGGUUCUUGGUAAGUUCAUUAGGGGUUUGAAAGAUUAUAUUUUGGUAUUUAUAUCCAAAUAUGAAGGAAGCAUAAGAAAUUGUGUAUAUUUUUGCAGUUUGAGCUUUCUGUGUUGCUGCUGGCUGCUUGGAGACUGUUUUGGUGGUCCAAUGGGUCCACCAGGGCCACCUGGACCACCUGGAUUUGGACCUCCACCACCAUAGUUAUA
RNAcentral lists this long non-coding RNA (5704 nucleotides) under Gossypium raimondii (Peruvian cotton). RNAcentral's name for it is "long non-coding RNA (GRAI_LNC005814)". The record is from RNAcentral. Lineage: Eukaryota; Viridiplantae; Streptophyta; Magnoliopsida; Malvales; Malvaceae.